GUAGUAAGCAGGGGACUCUAGCGAAACUGCCACCGUAAGGUGAGAGGAAGUGGGGAUGACGUCAAAUCAGCACGGCCCUUAUGUCCAGGGCUACACACGUGCUACAAUGGUUGGUACAACGAGUUGCGAGUCGGUGACGGCGAGCUAAUCUCUUAAAGCCAAUCUCAGUUCGGAUUGUAGGCUGCAACUCGCCUACAUGAAGUCGGAAUCGCUAGUAAUCGUGGAUCAGCAUGUCACGGUGAAUACGUUCCCGGGUCUU
RNAcentral lists this ribosomal RNA (259 nucleotides) under uncultured Streptococcus sp. RNAcentral describes it as "partial 16S ribosomal RNA". It matches the Rfam family "Bacterial small subunit ribosomal RNA", at positions 1124 to 1382 of the family's 1533-position model. The record is from RNAcentral. Lineage: Bacteria; Bacillati; Bacillota; Bacilli; Lactobacillales; Streptococcaceae.